CAUUAGGUCGGUUUGAAGAUAAAUACUAAGGGAUGAGGGGCGGCGUGUGUGGAGGUGGAAGCAGCAGUCACGUGGAGCCUGGGUGCCUGGACUCAAACAGUGCCAGGUGACUCAGACCCUGCAUCCCUGCCAGCAAAAUUGCCUGUGAUUCUUUGUGGGCUGAAGCAAGAAAUGAGCACGCCCUUCCCAGGAACUUUGUGGGACUGAAGUGUGUGUGGCGGGGGAGAGCCAGUGGCUCUGGUUUGGCAAGAUUGCUGCAUUCCCGAGUUCCUGAGACAUUUGCAUCGAAUUAACUCUGAAAUUUCAAGGUCGUGACCCAGGAGAGGAUGCCUGACCCAGGAAUGAAAACUGGAAGAGCUUUGAACAUCUAUCAACAUGUUUCUUGACAGGCCCUUGGACCCGGCCUUCUAUUUCCAGGUCUGUGAUGCUGUCUCUGUGAUGGUGAGGAGGUGGCCCCUGAUUAAAGCAGUGUGGACCCAAGACAGAUUGUCCAUGGGCUGGUCAACAACUUAGGAGGUGUCAGGCACGAAGCCUUGCCCAGCUGGCAUCAUAGGCUCACCUCAGGACCAGAUAUACUCUUCCCUUUGCUGUGAGGAAGUGGGGAGUCUCAGUUCAGUUCAGUCGCUCAGUCGU
Molecule: long non-coding RNA, 633 nt
Filed under: Bos indicus x Bos taurus (hybrid cattle)
Lineage: Eukaryota; Metazoa; Chordata; Mammalia; Artiodactyla; Bovidae
Description: lncRNA (ENSBIXG00000028794.1)
Source: RNAcentral